Molecule: ribosomal RNA, 373 nt
Filed under: uncultured bacterium
Lineage: Bacteria
Description: bacterial SSU rRNA
Rfam family: Bacterial small subunit ribosomal RNA
Source: RNAcentral
CGGCGGACGGGUGAGUAAUGCCUAUGAAUCUGCCUGGUAGUGGGGGAUAACGUUCGGAAACGGACGCUAAUACCGCAUACGUCCUACGGUUAGAAAGCAGGGGACCUUCGGGCCUUGCGCUAUCAGAUGAGCCUAGGUCGGAUUAGCUAGUUGGUGGGGUAAUGGCUCACCAAGGCGACGAUCCGUAACUGGUCUGAGAGGAUGAUCUGUCACACUGGAACUGAGACACGGUCCAGACUCCUACGGGAGGCAGCAGUGGGGAAUAUUGGACAAUGGGCGAAAGCCUGAUCCAGCCAUGCCGCGUGUGUGAAGAAGGUCUUCGGAUUGUAAAGCACUUUAAUUUGGGAGGAAGGGUUGUAGAUUAAUACUCUGC